CCUACGGGGGGCAGCAGUGGGGAAUAUUGGACAAUGGGGGGAACCCUGAUCCAGCCAUGCCGCGUGUGUGAAGAAGGGCCUCGGGUUGUAAAGCACUUUCAGUGAGGAAGAACGCCUGGUGGUUAAUACCCAUCAGGAAAGACAUCACUCACAGAAGAAGCACCGGCUAACUCCGUGCCAGCAGCCGCGGUAAUACGGAGGGUGCGAGCGUUAAUCGGAAUUACUGGGCGUAAAGCGCGCGUAGGUGGCUUGAUAAGCCGGUUGUGAAAGCCCCGGGCUCAACCUGGGAACGGCAUCCGGAACUGUCAAGCUAGAGUGCAGGAGAGGAAGGUAGAAUUCCCGGUGUAGCGGUGAAAUGCGUAGAGAUCGGGAGGAAUACCAGUGGCGAAGGCGGCCUUCUGGACUGACACUGACACUGAGGUGCGAAAGCGUGGGUAGCAAACAGGAUUAGAUACCCGAGUAGUC
Molecule: ribosomal RNA, 465 nt
Filed under: Vreelandella stevensii
Lineage: Bacteria; Pseudomonadati; Pseudomonadota; Gammaproteobacteria; Oceanospirillales; Halomonadaceae
Description: partial 16S ribosomal RNA
Rfam family: Bacterial small subunit ribosomal RNA
Source: RNAcentral